GAAUUUAGCAAGAUGAAUUAUCACAAAAACCGAUUAUACCUGGCCAUCCAUGGCCUGAAGAGCAGCAGAUGCAUCCUCACUUGUUGUAAAAGUUAUGAAGCCAAAACCUCGGAACCUGCCUGUUUCACGAUCCUAAGAUUUUUAGAGAUCCUAAUGGCAUCACAUAUUGAGAUGGUGAUUAAACCAAAUGCAAUUGCAAGCUUUUCACUAUGUGUAUACAACAUUUCUUUCUUAACUUCCUCUUCAACAUCUUGCAACACAAACUCUGUAUCAGGUACAUAA
Molecule: non-coding RNA, 282 nt
Organism: Vicia faba (fava bean)
Lineage: Eukaryota; Viridiplantae; Streptophyta; Magnoliopsida; Fabales; Fabaceae
Source: the annotation of a GenBank genome assembly